This 283-nucleotide ribosomal RNA is filed under the name uncultured bacterium. RNAcentral's name for it is "partial 16S ribosomal RNA". It matches the Rfam family "Bacterial small subunit ribosomal RNA", at positions 28 to 303 of the family's 1533-position model. The record is from RNAcentral.
GACGAACGCUGGCGGCGUGCUUAACACAUGCAAGUGGAGCGACGAACCGGGGCUUGCCCCGGGGCAGAGCCGCGAACGGGUGAGUAACACGUGGGUAACCCACCCCGAUGACCGGGACAACCCGAGGAAACUCGGGCUAAUACCGGAUGUGCUCCUUGACCUCGAGGUCAAGGCGUAAAGAUAGCUUCGGCCUUCGCAUCGGGACGGGCCCGCGGCCCAUUAGCUUGUUGGGUGGGGUAAAGGCCUACCAAGGCGACGANGGGUAGCUGGUCUGAGAGGACGA